RNAcentral lists this transfer RNA (76 nucleotides) under bacterium. RNAcentral describes it as "tRNA-Glu". It matches the Rfam family "tRNA". Rfam says of the family: Transfer RNA (tRNA) molecules are approximately 80 nucleotides in length. Their secondary structure includes four short double-helical elements and three loops (D, anti-codon, and T loops). Further hydrogen bonds mediate the characteristic L-shaped molecular structure. tRNAs have two regions of fundamental functional importance: the anti-codon, which is responsible for specific mRNA codon recognition, and the 3' end, to which the tRNAs corresponding amino acid is attached (by aminoacyl-tRNA synthetases). tRNAs cope with the degeneracy of the genetic code in two manners: having more than one tRNA (with a specific anti-codon) for a particular amino acid; and 'wobble' base-pairing, i.e. permitting non-standard base-pairing at the 3rd anti-codon position. The record is from RNAcentral.
GGCGCCAUCGUCUAGAGGCCUAGGAUACGUGGUUCUCAGCCAUGAGACCGGGGUUCGAAUCCCCGUGGCGCUACCA